This 29-nucleotide non-coding RNA is filed under the name Mus musculus (house mouse). Lineage: Eukaryota; Metazoa; Chordata; Mammalia; Rodentia; Muridae. The record is from RNAcentral.
UCCUCUUUUGAAGGACAUAGGACCGGGGU